CCUUGACUUAGUUGCCAGCAUUNAGUUGGGCACUCUAAGGUGACUGCCGGUGACAAACCGGAGGAAGGUGGGGAUGACGUCAAAUCAUCAUGCCCCUUAUGACCUGGGCUACACACGUGCUACAAUGGAUGGUACAAAGGGCUGCAAGACCGCGAGGUCAAGCCAAUCCCAUAAAACCAUUCUCAGUUCGGAUUGUAGGCUGCAACUCGCCUACAUGAAGCUGGAAUCGCUAGUAAUCGCGGAUCAGCAUGCCGCGGUGAAUACGUUCCCGGGCCUUGUACACACCGCCCGUCACACCACGAGAGUUUGUAACACCCGAAGUCGGUGGAGUAACCGUAAGGAGCUANCCGCCUAAGGUGGGACANAUGAUUGGGGUGAAGUCGUAACAAGGUAGCCGUAUCGGAAGGUGCGGCUGGAUCAC
This 421-nucleotide ribosomal RNA is filed under the name Bacillus sp. 1171b. Its description in RNAcentral is "bacterial SSU rRNA". It matches the Rfam family "Bacterial small subunit ribosomal RNA", at positions 1104 to 1526 of the family's 1533-position model. The record is from RNAcentral. Lineage: Bacteria; Bacillati; Bacillota; Bacilli; Caryophanales; Bacillaceae.